Molecule: ribosomal RNA, 466 nt
Filed under: uncultured bacterium
Lineage: Bacteria
Description: partial 16S ribosomal RNA
Rfam family: Bacterial small subunit ribosomal RNA
Source: RNAcentral
GAUGAACGCUGGCGGCGUGCUUAACACAUGCAAGUCGAACGGUGAAGCCAAGCUUGCUUGGUGGAUCAGUGGCGAACGGGUGAGUAACACGUGAGCAACCUGCCCUUGACUCUGGGAUAAGCGCUGGAAACGGCGUCUAAUACUGGAUAUGAGCCUCUUCCGCAUGGUGGGGGUUGGAAAGAUUUUUUGGUCUGGGAUGGGCUCGCGGCCUAUCAGCUUGUUUGUGAGGUAAUGGCUCACCAAGGCGUCGACGGGUAGCCGGCCUGAGAGGGUGACCGGCCACACUGGGACUGAGACACGGCCCAGACUCCUACGGGAGGCAGCAGUGGGGAAUAUUGCACAAUGGGCGAAAGCCUGAUGCAGCAACGCCGCGUGAGGGAUGACGGCCUUCGGGUUGUAAACCUCUUUUAGCAGGGAAGAAGCGAAAGUGACGGUACCUGCAGAAAAAGCGCCGGCUAACUACGUG